CAAACGGUCCUUUUCAGGACCACCAAAGUUAUCACUAAAGAGAUUGU
Molecule: regulatory RNA element, 47 nt
Organism: Culex pipiens (northern house mosquito)
Lineage: Eukaryota; Metazoa; Arthropoda; Insecta; Diptera; Culicidae
Rfam family: Histone 3' UTR stem-loop
About the family: The mRNAs of metazoan histone genes lack a poly-A tail.
Source: Rfam